CGCCCUCUUAAAUAAAUACACAGUGUAUGAUGCAACGAUAUAUGUAGAUAUAGACACUGCCUCGUAUCCAGGCGCUACAGUAUGUUGCUGCUUGGUUCGCAUCGCUGUUGCGUGGCCUUUGCGUGGGGCCGCGUGGAUUGUUUGUUUUCGUGAAAGAAAAAAAACAAAGCUCCUGGGUACGAGGCAAGAUUAUACACCAGUACAUGCUCGUACCCAGAGCCCUUCUUACGUUGACCGCGCGUAAGAAGGGCUCUGGGUACGAGAAUGACACCAGUAAACCUCGCGUAUUCCAACAACACUGAAGUUUUCAUUUUUAUUUCUUAAUCAUACAGUAGUUAACAAUUGUAAUGUAUGCUAUGAAUUCAACAUAAUCUCUCGGAUGAAUUUGUUCUUGAAGAAAAUGCUUGGAUUUAAAAAUAAGUUAAAUAUAGUAUAUAAUUAUUUACAAUAUCUCUCCGUGCAUGUUUAUGUCACAAACAUUCAGGCCAGCAGAUGAUGGUCAACUUGGAAUUUUUAGGAGGAAGAAAAUUAAACUAAAUCUUUUUUAGCUAUUUGCCACCAAAUAUAUAAGGCGAAAUAAUACAAAUAACAUUUCUCACUCCGAAAGUGCGUGUUAACCAUGAUUUGCUGCCACAAUAUUUUGCUCAGUUAAUCUACCUAUAAGACAAACCACACUCUAAAAAUCUAUGCAUGGCAUCUGUUCAUAAGAUCUACUCUACUCGCCAGUGCUGUCGGAAGCAAGGUGAAGCGGUGGGGACUGGGGACAGUUAUCUAAAAAGGUCACUUCUGAGCCUUAAUUUUUCGGUGAGCGGCAAUGUUCGUUAAAAUUUUGCUACUCGCGAUUACUUGCAGCAAUAUAGUUGGACAAAUUUCGGUAUUGAUUGGAACACUUUUAUUCGUUGUAUGACGCUAAACACUAAAAUGCAUUGUAAACAACAUGACAGCUUGUCAAUUAUUUUAUAGGAAGACUUUCUUUUUGACUAGUUUUCAUGAGGUGGAAACGUCAUUGGUAUGCUUUCUCAAAGGAAUUUCAGAUUCAAGUUUGAGCGAAAUUGUUUGAAAUUGCUUGGACCAAUGUGGGUAAUGAAAACCACGGUUCCGAAAGGGUAGCCUCGCAGUGGCUCGGAAGAGUAAUUUUCAUUGGCUCGAUUUGACAAUUGCUUUUGUGUUUAUAACAAUGAAUUGCUUCGUUCUUUAGAAAACCCGCAUCCAAUUGGAGACGGCCUUCCGAGGCGCUGCGAGGCUUCCCUUCCGAAAAGCUGCGUAUUCCUGCUCAAUUUAUUGAAAAAAGACGCUUUAGUGUGGAGUGCGUCUUGUCUUACAUUUCGAAAAUGUUCCCUAACGACACACCUCCGCACAGGUAAUGUGCAAUAAAUGUUAGUUGGGGUGAAAAAAAGGAUUUAAAUUUCGAGUGCAUUUUGCCGGGAAAAACUCCAAGAUACGAACUAAACUCAGGACAAAAUUUUUACCAAGCCUGUGCGGAGAAGAGAGCCCUAUUAUAGAGUCCAGAGAUGGACUGAUAAAUACUCUAUGCAUGACAGUGUUUUAAACUGGAUAUCCAGAUAAUAAUCGAACAUCUAUUGCUUUCUUUAAGCCAGCUCUUCUGAUGGACUCGAGACCGAUCUCUGCAAUGAAAGAAAGGAAUUGGGAAGAAGGUUAGUUUUGAAUUUUUCUCCUCAAAACAAUAAUGGUGUAAGUUCUAAUAGAUGGUUGUUUAUACAUAUGACCAGUUUGUACUAACAGGUGGCAUUAGAUCACUCUUUAACCUCUCUGAACAAAGCCGUCUAGACAAACAAAUCGUCUUUUAGUCGGACAAAUCGUCAGAUGUGAAAACGUGUCGGACAAAAUUUUAG
Molecule: long non-coding RNA, 1853 nt
Filed under: Paramuricea clavata
Lineage: Eukaryota; Metazoa; Cnidaria; Anthozoa; Malacalcyonacea; Plexauridae
Source: RNAcentral